UGAACGCUAGCUACAGGCUUAACACAUGCAAGUCGAGGGGCAGCAUCAUCAAAGCUUGCUUUGAUGGAUGGCGACCGGCGCACGGGUGAGUAACACGUAUCCAACCUGCCGACAACACUGGGAUAGCCUUUCGAAAGAAAGAUUAAUACCGGAUGGCAUAGUUUUCCCGCAUGGGAUAAUUAUUAAAGAAUUUCGGUUGUCGAUGGGGAUGCGUUCCAUUAGGCAGUUGGCGGGGUAACGGCCCACCAAACCAACGAUGGAUAGGGGUUCUGAGAGGAAGGUCCCCCACAUUGGAACUGAGACACGGUCCAAACUCCUACGGGAGGCAGCAGUGAGGAAUAUUGGUCAAUGGACGAGAGUCUGAACCAGCCAAGUAGCGUGAAGGAUGACUGCCCUAUGGGUUGUAAACUUCUUUUAUACGGGAAUAAAGUGAGCCACGUGUGGCUUUUUGUAUGUACCGUAUGAAUAAGGAUCGGCUAACUCCGUGCCAGCAGCCGCGGUAAUACGGAGGAUCCGAGCGUUAUCCGGAUUUAUUGGGUUUAAAGGGAGCGUAAGCGGGUUGUUAAGUCAGUUGUGAAAGUUUGCGGCUCAACCGUAAAAUUGCAGUUGAUACUGGCGACCUUGAGUGCAACAGAGGUAGGCGGAAUUCGUGGUGUAGCGGUGAAAUGCUUAGAUAUCACGAAGAACUCCGAUUGCGAAGGCAGCUUACUGGAUUGUAACUGACGCUGAUGCUCGAAAGUGUGGGUAUCAAACAGGAUUAGAUACCCUGGUAGUCCACACAGUAAACGAUGAAUACUCGCUGUUGGCGAUAUACGGUCAGCGGCCAAGCGAAAGCAUUAAGUAUUCCACCUGGGGAGUACGCCGGCAACGGUGAAACUCAAAGGAAUUGACGGGGGCCCGCACAAGCGGAGGAACAUGUGGUUUAAUUCGAUGAUACGCGAGGAACCUUACCCGGGCUUAAAUUGCAACUGACGGAACCGGAAACGGUUCCUUCUUCGGACAGUUGUGAAGGUGCUGCAUGGUUGUCGUCAGCUCGUGCCGUGAGGUGUCGGCUUAAGUGCCAUAACGAGCGCAACCCUUACGGGUAGUUACCAUCAGGUUAUGCUGGGGACUCUACCCGGACUGCCGUCGUAAGAUGUGAGGAAGGUGGGGAUGACGUCAAAUCAGCACGGCCCUUACGUCCGGGGCUACACACGGGUUACAAUGGGGGGUACAGAAGGCAGCUACACGGCGACGUGGUGCUAAUCCCGAAAGCCUCUCUCAGUUCGGAUUGGAGUCUGCAACCCGACUCCAUGAAGCUGGAUUCGCUAGUAAUCGCGCAUCAGCCACGGCGCGGUGAAUACGUUCCCGGGCCUUGUACACACCGCCCGUCAAGCCAUGAAAGCCGGGGGUACCUGAAGUACGUAACCGCGAGGAGCGUCCUAGGGUAAAACUGGUGAUAGG
This 1443-nucleotide ribosomal RNA is filed under the name uncultured organism. Its description in RNAcentral is "SSU rRNA". It matches the Rfam family "Bacterial small subunit ribosomal RNA". The record is from RNAcentral.